Xiphophorus maculatus (southern platyfish) is the source of this 1675-nucleotide long non-coding RNA. RefSeq lists it as uncharacterized. The transcript has 3 exons. The record is from RefSeq and is a predicted model, not a curated record. NCBI's taxonomy places the organism in Eukaryota, Metazoa, Chordata, Actinopteri, Cyprinodontiformes, Poeciliidae.
CAGCAACCUGAGAGGGAGGAGAAAUCCUGCAUGCAGCCACCACUGCAUGCAGUGAAGCAGCUGAAGUUUAUUCAGCAGUAAAAACAGGAGAUGGGACUCAUGGAGAGAGAGUCAUCAACCAGAAGAAGAAGAAGCAGAGGUCAAAGGCCAAAGAGAAUCAACCAGACCCAAAUCUUCUCUACUCCUCAGUGAGGUCGCCCAGAGUUGACCUCUGACCUCCAGCAGCUGUUAGCUUCUCAUCGCUGAGUCAGAUCUACUGGGAUUUAGCUGGACUGGUUUCCAGUAGCAGCUCAGGAAACCAGUAGCAUGAGCUAAGUGUUGUCAGAGACUGGGCUAACGGCUAACAGCAGCCCAAGCUAACAACAAGCUAACAACAAGCUAACAACAAGCUAAUUCUUUGCUUUUUAUGUAUUUUAACUGAGCAGCAACAUGUUGACCAGCAGAGGAAAUAAAACAUUUCAUCACAGCAGCUGUUACUGUGCGGCGGCCAUGUUGGAUUUUAAGCUCUGGGUUUAAAUGUUUGAAUGUUUUUAAUCUGGAAAUUUAAAGUUUCAGAUUAGCUUCAUGCUAAUUUAGCUUCUGAAGAUGGAAAGGAUUUUAUUUUAAACUUUACAAUAAAUAAUUUUCUGGUGUCUCAGAAUCUGCAUCAAAUAAUAAAUGAAUGAAUUUAUUCUGUUUUUUAUGUAACUUUAAUGUCAUGUUAGUCUCAGGUUUAGAGGUGAUUUUAUAAUAACUUAAUUUCUACUAAACUCUUGUUUGUGUUUAGUUCAGAGACAACAGAUGUCAUUUUGUUACUGUUACCCUGAACAGAUUGAAUUACAAUAUAAAUCUUAAUUUACUGAUAAAACAGCAGAAAAUGAGUUAAUGGUGAAAACUGAAGAUUCUGCUGUUAUUUGAUCAGCUUUAAAUCCAGACAUGGUGGCUGAAGCUGAACAUCAGAGUCUGAUUUAUCCUGAUGGAUGAGAAGCUGGAGAUCCUAAAAUACUGAUUUCACUCAGACAUGAAGCUUCUUUAAAACUGUUUCAUGAACUAAAAGAGGAUUUUCAGUUUUGAUCAGCUCUGAGUUCAGAUGGAGGUUUUAUUUACAGCUGAGAGCUUCAGUGAUGAAGGAGUGAUGAAGAGGAGGCUGAUCUCACUCAGCUUCAUCACUCAGGUUGAGAUCAGCCUGACUGCUAAUAUGACCUGAACUUUAAGUCUUUUAUUUCAUCAUCUAACUUCUGCUUUCAGUGACUUAAUGCAGCCUGUAGAUAAACCAACAUCAGCAGCAGAAACUCGGCUUCUUGUUUCCUGUUUCUGUUUUUCUCCUCAUUGUGGAAAAAGUUUGACCUUUGACCUUCUUCUUCCCAUCGUUGCUUCAGGCUCUGAUGUUUCCAGACUUUUCUUCAUCUGUUGGCUCCUUUAAUCAGCCAUCAGGUUAAAUCAGCUCCUUUUAGCCUCUCAGUUUUCACCAUAACUCCACAUUUAUGGUUAUUUUUAACAUCUAAAAGCAGAAAAUCACAUGUUGCAGCUGCUAGCUGAACAUUUCUGCUCAUUUUUUCUGAUCAUAAUUUUAGCAGCGAACCGUUUUUCUCCUCUGUGGUGAAAUGUGUUUAUUGUUGCUGAUAGAGACGAGAAGCCGAUCAGUUCCUCUUCUCUACAUGAUUUAUAUUUAGUGAUUAAAAAACUGUGAAAACUU